CAGCCGCCGCGGUAAUACGAAGGGUGCAAGCGUUAAUCGGAAUUACUGGGCGUAAAGCGUGCGUAGGCGGUGAGUUAAGUCUGCUGUGAAAUCCCCGGGCUCAACCUGGGAAUGGCAAUGGAUACUGGCAAGCUAGAGUGUGUCAGAGGAUGGUGGAAUUCCCGGUGUAGCGGUGAAAUGCGUAGAGAUCGGGAGGAACAUCAGUGGCGAAGGCGGCCAUCUGGGACAACACUGACGCUGAGGCACGAAAGCGUGGGGAGCAAACAGGAUUAGAUACCCCUGUAGUCCCUGUCUCUUAUAC
Molecule: ribosomal RNA, 301 nt
Filed under: uncultured bacterium
Lineage: Bacteria
Description: partial 16S ribosomal RNA
Rfam family: Bacterial small subunit ribosomal RNA
Source: RNAcentral